This 467-nucleotide ribosomal RNA is filed under the name uncultured bacterium. RNAcentral's name for it is "partial 16S ribosomal RNA". It matches the Rfam family "Bacterial small subunit ribosomal RNA", at positions 28 to 507 of the family's 1533-position model. The record is from RNAcentral.
GACGAACGCUGGCGGCGUGCUUAACACAUGCAAGUCGAACGGAAAGGCUCCAGCUUGCUGGAGUACUCGAGUGGCGAACGGGUGAGUAACACGUGGGUAAUCUGCCCUGCACUCUGGGAUAAGCCUGGGAAACUGGGUCUAAUACUGGAUAUGACCUUUCUCCUUAUGGGGUUUGGUGGAAAGUUUUUCGGUGUAGGAUGAGCCCGCGGCCUAUCAGCUUGUUGGUGGGGUGAUGGCCUACCAAGGCGACGACGGGUAGCCGGCCUGAGAGGGUGAUCGGCCACAUUGGGACUGAGAUACGGCCCAGACUCCUACGGGAGGCAGCAGUGGGGAAUAUUGCACAAUGGGCGGAAGCCUGAUGCAGCGACGCCGCGUGAGGGAUGACGGCCUUCGGGUUGUAAACCUCUUUCAGCAGGGACGAAGCGUAAGUGACGGUACCUGCAGACGAAGCACCGGCUAACUAUGUG